RNAcentral lists this ribosomal RNA (773 nucleotides) under uncultured Neocallimastigales. RNAcentral describes it as "partial large subunit ribosomal RNA". It matches the Rfam family "Eukaryotic large subunit ribosomal RNA", at positions 20 to 616 of the family's 3401-position model. The record is from RNAcentral. Lineage: Eukaryota; Fungi; Neocallimastigomycota; Neocallimastigomycetes; Neocallimastigales.
UACUAGAGUAGCACUCGCAUAUCAAUAAGCGGAGGAAAAGAAACUAACAAGGAUUCCCCUAGUAACGGCGAGUGAAGCGGGAAGAGCUCAAAUUUGAAAUCUUAAAGGUUUCCCUUUACGAAUUGUAGUUUAAAGAAGUGUUUUCUGUUGAGGUUUUGGUAAAAGUUCUUUGGAAUAGGACAUCAUAGAGGGUGAGAAUCCCGUAUUUGACCUUUACUUUCAACUUUGUGAUACACUUUCAAAGAGUCGGAUUGUUUGGGAAUGCAGUCCAAAAUGGGUGGUAAAUUUCAUCUAAAGCUAAAUAUUGGCGAGAGACCGGUAGCGAACAAGUACCGUGAGGGAAAGAUGAAAAGAACUUUGAAAAGAGAGUUAAACAGUACGUGAAAUUGUCAAAAGGGAAGCGUUUGACACCAGUGUUGUUUUUCUGAAAAUCAAUUAAAGAACUGUUUAUGCUAAGCUGUUUAGACUUUAUCAGCUAUCUGUUUAGUUUUGAGCUUUUCUUUAAUGCACUUUUCAGUUAACAAGUCAACAUCAAUUUCUUUUGCUGUAAAAAAGCUUGAGGAAGGUGGCUUGAGAUUCGUCUUAAGUGUUUAUAGCCUCUUGCCUAUGCAGUCGGAGAGAUUGAGGUCUGCAGCGUAGAUCCUUCGGGGCUAAAUGCAUUUGUGCUAAGUUAUAGCAUUUUAUAGACAACUUGUUGACUAUGAUUUGUCUUGUAGCUUACUCGCUUAUGUUAUUUUACCUACGCUUAGGAUGUUGAGCGCAUGUCUCUCUCU